Molecule: ribosomal RNA, 497 nt
Filed under: uncultured bacterium
Lineage: Bacteria
Description: partial 16S ribosomal RNA
Rfam family: Bacterial small subunit ribosomal RNA
Source: RNAcentral
GAUGAACGCUGGCGGCGUGCCUAAUACAUGCAAGUCGAGCGAACGGACGAGAAGCUUGCUUCUCUGAUGUUAGCGGCGGACGGGUGAGUAACACGUGGAUAACCUACCUAUAAGACUGGGAUAACUUCGGGAAACCGGAGCUAAUACCGGAUAAUAUUUUGAACCGCAUGAUUCAAGAGUGAAAGACGGUCUUGCUGUCACUUAUAGAUGGAUCCGCGCUGCAUUAGCUAGUUGGUAAGGUAACGGCUUACCAAGGCAACGAUGCAUAGCCGACCUGAGAGGGUGAUCGGCCACACUGGAACUGAGACACGGUCCAGACUCCUACGGGAGGCAGCAGUAGGGAAUCUUCCGCAAUGGGCGAAAGCCUGACGGAGCAACGCCGCGUGAGUGAUGAAGGUCUUCGGAUCGUAAAACUCUGUUAUUAGGGAAGAACAUAUGUGUAAGUAACUGUGCACAUCUUGACGGUACCUAAUCAGAAAGCCACGGCUAACUACGUG